Molecule: ribosomal RNA, 460 nt
Filed under: uncultured bacterium
Lineage: Bacteria
Description: partial 16S ribosomal RNA
Rfam family: Bacterial small subunit ribosomal RNA
Source: RNAcentral
CCUACGGGAGGCUGCAGUGAGGCAUAUUGGUCAAUGGACGCGAGUCUGAACCAGCCAAGCCGCGUGCAGGAUGACUGCCCUAUGAGUUGUACACUUCUUUUAUACGAGGGUAAACUCCGGCACGUGUAUCUGUUUGAAAGUACCUUACGAAUAAGGAUCGGCUAACUCCGUGCCAGCAGCCGCGGUAAUACGGAGGAUCCGAGCGUUAUCCGGAUUUAUUGGGUUUAAAGGGUGCGUAGGCGGUUUGUUAAGUCAGUGGUGAAAUGUUGGGGCUCAACCCCGAAACUGCCGGUAAUACUGGUGGACUAGAGUAUAGUUGAGGUAGGCGGAAUGCAUGGUGGAGCGGUGAAAUGCUUAGAGAUCAUACAGAACACCGAUUGCGAAGGCAGCUUACCAAACUAUAUCUGACGUUGAGGCACGAAAGCGUGGGUAGCAAACAGGAUUAGAUAACCGAGUAGUC